Molecule: long non-coding RNA, 2527 nt
Organism: Bubalus bubalis (water buffalo)
Lineage: Eukaryota; Metazoa; Chordata; Mammalia; Artiodactyla; Bovidae
Exons: 3
Source: RefSeq, a predicted model, not a curated record
CACCUGGUAAUCCUUAUUUGUUUAGAAACAAUGGUAGUAUCGGAGCUUAAAGUGAGGGAUUCAAAGAAGAAGUAAAAAUGUACGGGAAGUGCCAGGCUUGAGUUCUUAACCUGAGAUCCCUGAAAUCAUAGGGGUUCUUGUAAACCCGUGAAAUUGUGUGCCAAGUUUGGAGUAUAUGUGGGUCUCUAUGUUUAGGGGUUGGGGUGUUAGUCACUCAGUCAUGUCUGACUCUUUGCAAACCCAUGGACUGUAGCCCACCAGGCUUCUCUGUCCGUGGGAUGUUCUGGGCAAGAAUACUGGAGUGGGAGGCCAUUCCCUUUUCCAGGGGGUCUUCCACAUCCAGGGAUUGAACCUGUAUCUCUUAUGUCUCCUGCAUUGUCAGGCAGAUUCUUUUCCACUAAUGCCACUGGUGAUGGAGAGAGAGGGGUAAAGAUUCAUCCCUUAGAGAGGAUUCUCAAAAGAAGCCACAGAGGGAAAAGGCACUUUCAUGAAAUUCAUACAUACACGAAGAUGCACAGUGUUAGAGAAAAUGUGGGAGGGUCCUGAGUACUUCCCCAAAAUGUCACUUCUGCUUCUUUCACAUGCUCUGAUUCUUUCAGUCACCAGUUCCUUGUUCUCAGGGGACUGCUGUGGCUCCCAUCUGCUGUCCUGCCCUAGAGAAAGUCAUCUUUCCUUGGAGCACCUUAGCACAGCUGAGUGGGUUCCAUCUCAAACUACAAAUGAUGAAGUAGAGCAGGCAAGAUGAGCCAACAGCGAAGACUGUUGAUAAGAUACUUCCUAACACACAAGGGUCACAGGAGGCGUCUUCUAAUUCUUCCCAUGCUCCUGCUCCAGAUGUCAGUUCCACUUUCCAGAGAUCUUAAUAUUUGACUUCCUCCUGACCUUCCACCUCCUCUUGGCUGGGACAGUCUUAGCUCUGGCUACCGGCAACCUUGUCAUGAGCCAAAAGUCUCUGGCAGACCACUUAGAGAUUCCCGUCUCGUUUCUGAAAUAAGGGACGUCUUCACGCCUUCAGCAACCCGUGAUUUCCGUCUGUUUUCAUAGGGAGGAUGGCAAAUAGGUUUGAAUUCACAUGCUAAACCCCACCAAUUGGUAAAAGCAUCCUCACAAAACUUCUUAAACUGAAACACGUGUGGGUAUUCUGUGAGCAUCUUGCUAAAAUGCUGAUGCUGAUUCCCUCUGAGACCCCCUGUGAGUAGCAGGCUGUGGGAGAGUUCUGUUGCGAAUGAUUCAUCGGCUGGGAUCCUUUGGCCACGUCUGUCCAAGGGUCAAGGACAGGGUGGCAGAGCCCUGAGGUGCCCUGAAUUUGCCAGAUGAGAUAACAGCUCUUGCACAGCCCUGCUCCUGCCUGGAUGCUUUGUGGCUGCCACAGACGUCCUGCUCAGUGAGCUCCAGUUUUCCUUUUCCUUGUUUACUUGUUAUUCCUUCCCUUAGCACAGAGAGGAGGAUCUUUAUUGUCCCUACAACCCAGGAGCAGCUCACAUUACAGCCCUGCCAUCAGUGUGCUUCAGAUCUGGCCUUGGCAGCCCUGUAAGAACUGGCUCUCUUUUGCCGAUUGGAUGGGUCUGGAGAGUUUCUGCUGCCCCAGCCAGCACCGUGUGACCAGAACCCCAGGUGUUCCCGAGUUUCAGUCAGACCCUUGCAGCUGUCUUGUUUCUUGCCGAGGUUGAGGCAUCCACUCCGAUUCUCUGCUGAGUCUGGAGCCCAGCCCUUCUGAGGGUUGGCUCUGCUUCAGAUACAGCUAAUCCAACCCAGAUGGAGUGUGAAGGUGAGAUCCUGACAGCAUCUAGGGAUGGAACUUGGACUCUGAGCUGCAGCAUUUCGCCCUGGCUCCCUGGAUGUUGCCCUUAGGGGCUGGUGCCAAUCCAGCCUGGGCCAGCAUUAGCUCUGCUACUGCGACUUGAUUUCUACCACAUUUUCUUGUUGGCUGUCUCUACUUUUAAAGAAAACUGCUGAUAAUUUUAGUGUAAUUUAAGUAAUCUCCUGAACAAACUAUGUGACGAUAACAUCUGGAAGAAGAUCACCAGGAGUGGACAAGUCUGCACACGACGGGGAUGACGACAACCCCGAGCCCCAUCUCAGUGAUUAACUGAGGUUCUUUCCUUGUUUCCCUUUAAAAAUUUCAAGGCCAGGCAGAAUCUUUGCAGGCAGUUUCUUAGGGAUGCUGAGUCCACCAUCUCCCCAGAUUGCUGGCAUUCUGAUUAAAGAUACCUUUCCUUUCUACCAUUUGUAUUGAUUUUGUAAGUGACUAGCACUGGGACCCCCUAUUCAAUAAUAAUAAUUUUAACUUAUAACAUCUAUAAUUAUGUAUAAGUUAUCUAUAAUGUUUCUUUUGAAUUCCUAAUUUUGCUAAUUCAUGACCUCUCUGUUUUUCUUUGAUUAGUCUUGCUAGAGAUUUAUAAAUAGUACUCAUCUUUUUAAGAAACUUGAUUUUGGUUUUGUUAUUCAUCUCUGUCUCUUUCUCUUUAUUUGUAUAUAUACACACAUUAUGUACAUAUAAAGUUUGAAUAAAUAUAUAAAGUAUGAA